Molecule: non-coding RNA, 72 nt
Organism: Potamilus streckersoni
Lineage: Eukaryota; Metazoa; Mollusca; Bivalvia; Unionida; Unionidae
Source: the annotation of a GenBank genome assembly
GCUCCGGUGGCCUAGUGGUCAGACCGUCUGCCUCGGAUGCAGGAGGUAGAGGGUUCGACCCCAGCCGAGUCA